GUCGUUUCAAACCUUCAAGCCCAGCUUGGUGUUGGGUGUUUGUCCCGUCUCGUGCGCGGACUCGCCUUAAAAUCAUUGGCAGCAGACAUCGUGGCUAAUUGCGCAGCAGAUACGCGCCUGACGCUGGAUGUCGGCUCUCCACGAGCGUAGCCUCUUUUCAGUUUGACCUCGGAUCAGGUAGGGAUACCCGCUGAACUUAA
RNAcentral lists this unclassified non-coding RNA (200 nucleotides) under soil metagenome. RNAcentral's name for it is "partial contains internal transcribed spacer 2 and large subunit ribosomal RNA". The record is from RNAcentral.